This 464-nucleotide ribosomal RNA is filed under the name Burkholderia sp. oral taxon C87. RNAcentral's name for it is "bacterial SSU rRNA". It matches the Rfam family "Bacterial small subunit ribosomal RNA", at positions 29 to 487 of the family's 1533-position model. Lineage: Bacteria; Pseudomonadati; Pseudomonadota; Betaproteobacteria; Burkholderiales; Burkholderiaceae. The record is from RNAcentral.
AUUGAACGCUGGCGGCAUGCCUUACACAUGCAAGUCGAACGGCAGCACGGGGGCAACCCUGGUGGCGAGUGGCGAACGGGUGAGUAAUACAUCGGAACGUGUCCUGUAGUGGGGGAUAGCCCGGCGAAAGCCGGAUUAAUACCGCAUACGCUCUACGGAGGAAAGGGGGGGAUCUUAGGACCUCCCGCUACAGGGGCGGCCGAUGGCAGAUUAGCUAGUUGGUGGGGUAAAGGCCUACCAAGGCGACGAUCUGUAGCUGGUCUGAGAGGACGACCAGCCACACUGGGACUGAGACACGGCCCAGACUCCUACGGGAGGCAGCAGUGGGGAAUUUUGGACAAUGGGCGAAAGCCUGAUCCAGCAAUGCCGCGUGUGUGAAGAAGGCCUUCGGGUUGUAAAGCACUUUUGUCCGGAAAGAAAACGCCGUGGUUAAUACCCGUGGCGGAUGACGGUACCGGAAGAAU